Lontra canadensis (Northern American river otter) is the source of this 208-nucleotide long non-coding RNA. RefSeq lists it as uncharacterized. Lineage: Eukaryota; Metazoa; Chordata; Mammalia; Carnivora; Mustelidae. The record is from RefSeq and is a predicted model, not a curated record. The transcript has 3 exons.
AGAAAAGAGCCUGGUACCUACUGCCAGGUCUACUUUGACAAUUGGGCCACCAUUGUAAUCUUCACCAGAUUUCAUGAUGAUGAGCCUCCCUGAUACUUACCAGCCAAACAGAACAAAACUGAUUUCUCUUGGCCUUCGGAUUCUUCAUCAUCACUGUUGUCAGAAAAUUGGCAGUGGAGGACUUCAUCUUGUUCUUCUAUGUGACCCA